This 3383-nucleotide long non-coding RNA is filed under the name Aquilegia coerulea. Its description in RNAcentral is "long non-coding RNA (ACOE_LNC001756)". The record is from RNAcentral. Lineage: Eukaryota; Viridiplantae; Streptophyta; Magnoliopsida; Ranunculales; Ranunculaceae.
UUUCUCUUUCUCUUUAAAACUCAUCUCCUGCCUCGAUCUUUCUUCUCCUUCCCAACUCGAAUUGAAACUCGAUAAUUUCUUCUUCUCAUACAAACAACAAUUUCAAUUCUUCUCACCCAAACAACAAUUCAAUCACUGCCUCUCCUUCUUUUUUUUUUUCUUUUGAAAUUUCCAUCACUGCCUCUGCAACCAAGAACUCAUCCGCGCGUUGCUGCUGUUGUGUGUUUUCAAUCGUCGCUCCAAUCACGGUAAAUCUCUUUUCUGCCUCUCCUCUUUUGUCUAUUCUAUUUUUUUUUUCUUGAGAUGUUGUUUGUGUGAGAUGGAUAAUGGUAAUUUAACGCAAAAUUUCUAUUGAAUUUUGUAUCUUGAAUUGUUGUUUGUGUGAGAUUGAUGGGGUAAUGAAAAAUUUCUAUUUAAACUUUCUUAAAAUUACAAAAAUUCAGAUUUAAUGAUUAAUUUCGUUUAUAGUUGAGAUUGGUAUGAAGUUAAUGUGUAAAAUUUAGGUUUUUUUUGAAAAUCGAUGCUUCUAAUUAAGAUUGAUUAUGGAAAAAUAGUAAUUUCGUUUGUAGGUCUGGUUUUUGUCAAGUUGGUGUUAAAAUUUUCACAUCUUCUUCUUCCCCAUUGCUAUAAACAAUGAAGUAUUUCUCCUGGAUCUCUAUGAUCAUUAUCAUAAACCGCUAGAAGUAUAGUUUACUAACCUGUAAAAAUUUGGUACACGAUCAUGAACUUAGAGUUUAAGGUCACCAGCCAUUUCUGUCUGACCAGGUUGGCCUGGUACAACAAACACCAUGAUUUCUUUCUUUGGUGCACACUUAACCAAAAUUCUUCCAGCUGCAAAAGAGAAACAAAUCAAACAAUAUAGUUUCACAAGGACACACUAUGAGUACCAUAAUAAUUGCCCAUUUGCUACAGUAACUGUUCCCUGAGUUGUUGCUACUGACCUGAGAUACCUAAUCAUUCAACUGCCUGCCAUUAGUGUUCCCCAUCAGCCAAAGUUGUAAUGCCCGAGUAGCAUUAAAAAUCAUGAGAAGCAUCGAUUUUCAAAAAAAAACCACAAGGUACUCUUCCAGUUAGGUAUCUGGACUUGCCUAUCAUCACUACCAGACUCAAAGCACAAGAUUGUCUACCACUUAUAGAGAAAGUCUCAAACAUGAUACAAAGCUGGAGAGGGAAGUCACUUACGUAUGCUGGCAAGCUGCAGCUAUUUGGGGCUGUCUUGAACAAUCUCAGUGUGUUCUGGACAGCUUCUUUUAUGUUACCAAGUGCCACCAUUCUUGAGAUCAAUAAGUUGUAGGAACUUUCUAUGGAAAAGGCUUGAUUGUAAUUUUUUAUUGUAAUGACUAGGAUCGCUGCAAUAAUGAAGCAUUUCUGCAUAUUUCUCUUCUUUCUAUGUUGUUGUAUAUAGUCCGUGUAACAGCUCUCUCUAGAGCAGCCUGCAGCCUGCAAACUUUUAUAUUUUUACAAGCAGGGUCUUAUUGGUUAUAAGUCUCUUAACUCAAAAUUAUGAAAAAUAUGCAAUAUGAAUCUUAUUUCCAAAGUUCUAAAUGAAUGAUGGAUUUCCAAAGUCCAAACAAAGUAUUGAACCUAUAUCACUAAUUCAUAACCAAAGGACAUGAGACUAAGCCAAAUAGUGCCAUUUACAUUUCUGCAUUAUUUAUAACUGAUCUCUCCUUUUCUCUAUAUAUCCUUUUUCUUUUCUUUUUUUGCUCGAGGAAAUUUCCAUACCAAUGGUUGAAUGUGGAUGGCUAUUUAUACAUGGAUAGCCAAAGUUGUAAUGCCUGAGUAGCUUUGAUUGUUUUCUUUUACUGUAUAUACAAAGCACAUACAAUGGUGCUUAAUUUGGCGAGUCUGCAGGUCAAUUUUCUUAUUUUUUGUUAUUUUCCUGAUACAAUAUAGGCCCAUCACUAAUCAAUAUAAUUUCUUGUCGAUGUCGUGUUCAAGUCUGUUGGUUUUGCUCUUUUAACUAUUUAAGUGCUCAAUUUGUAUACCAUACUUGAUUGCUAAGGUCAUUACAUCAAUUCUUAUCUGGUAUGCAUAUAUGGUUCAAUUUUGAUUAUUUUGAUUUGCAAGGGAAACACAAUUUCGUCCUUUGGAUUGUUCUCAUUCCUUUGAGACAAGUGCAUCUGAAGCUGAUUUUUUCUUUCCAAGGUAUUUUUAUGGACACUUGUGAACUUAUGAAUGUUUAAUAUUGUGCAGAGAGAAGGAUACUUGCUAGGAUUUUGUUAGCUUGAUUAAAGGUACAUUUUUAAUACCAUUACUCUCUGAUGUAUCACAACUUAAAUGCAAUUUUAUGUAGUACAUAGUAAAUAAAGAAAAAGUUGUUUGUUUUGCUAUUCUUGAAUCGUGAGUCUCAAUUCAGUGUUAUCAUUGAUAAUCCCAAAGUCAUCCUUUUGGAUAAAACUCGGAAGGAAGUUGCUGAAGGGUAUGUAGUGACUAAUGAAACAGCUGGAACUUGUCAUGGUAGAACAAUCUUUCCUGGUGAAAAAAAGGUUUGGGUGCAGAAAGUCUUGGAUGGAAAUGCUUCGAUAUAUGAUGGCCCACAAGAUGGAAUGGAGACUCUGCAUGAAAUAAUUGAUGGGGGAUAUUUAGUUUGGCUUGAUGCUCGGUUAAAGUAUUAAUUAUUUAUGUUUAGGGAUGGAAGACAAGAAAACUAGUGAAUUUAAAUUUGAAGUAUGACCAAGAUUUUGCUUUUGACUAUAUUACCAUUUGCUUAAUGUACUGUAUCUUUUCUUAUCAAGGAUAGUUACUUUUUUUAUAUUGUGUCGUGCUGAUGAAUGGUUGCUUUUACUGUUUUAAAUUAAUUGUACAGAUGGAUGAAAUACAUGUUGACUUGUAGGUUUCCGUGUUAUGGCAGUAAUUAUUAUUAGGAUCAGAUAAUGUUAAGUAAGUGAUUUUCCUUUUCACAUAGUUGGCUAUUAGCUUUGAAGUGUAAAAUCCCGUUUUUAACUCCGCCAAUGCAAGUGCAUUGCCGGUCCCAAGACCGGAUAAAGGAGGAGGGGAGAUGGGUGAGCCUUCGAACAAAUUGCAUUUUUUAUAUUUUGAAUGUAAUUAACAUUCUGAACAAAUUGCACUAGUUCAAUGUCGUUAUUGUCGUUCGUUUUCAUUGGAUCUUUUACUUGUGAGUGAAUAACAUUUUGGUUAUUAGGUGUCUUGAAGGAACGCCUUGGAAUAUUACGGAUGCUUCAACCUGGCCAUCUUUGUGCACAAUAUAUAUAUAUCUAUAUAUCUACAUGUGACAGACCUAUCUUGCCUUCUGACCGUGGAAGAUAUAAUUGUGUGCGCAUAUCUGCGCUUUUACACACCUAUCUUGCCUUCUGACCGUUAAUAUAUCUGUUGCAUACUAAAAUGUGAUCUUUAUUUCUUAGGGAAGAAAAAACAUCAGG